This is a long non-coding RNA of Malus domestica (apple), 620 nucleotides long. RefSeq lists it as uncharacterized. NCBI's taxonomy places the organism in Eukaryota, Viridiplantae, Streptophyta, Magnoliopsida, Rosales, Rosaceae. The record is from RefSeq and is a predicted model, not a curated record.
UUUCUAACUUAGAGCUGCUGUUCCUCUCUCUCUAGAAUCUUCAAAACCAUUAUUUCUAACACCAGAGCCAUCAUCUAACUCGAGUCCAAUCUUCUUUCUCUGUUCAUUGCUCUGAAGGCAAAAAUGGAGAUCUACCCCCAAACUUCCGAUCAUGAUGUCGACCCACUCAGAGGAGCUGCAGAAUGCCGACCCAACAUAGCAAAGAACGUUAAAUGUCUGGAGCCUAUCUGAUGUGGAAAAGAAAGGUAUAGGUAUGUAUCCCUUCAACUCUUAUUUGUGUGUCGUAGGAAUAUGAUUUUCGUCUGCUCAUAAUUGUCCUCUGUGCUUUUUGCGUGUCUUCGUUGAUGUAUGUUGAGCAAAAAUAUAUGCAUAUGGAUGGCCUUGAUGACUGUGUUCUUCUCUAUGCUGCUUGGAUCCCCACCCCCAAACUUGUAUGUAAUUAUAUUCUUAAUGAAAUGUGAGAGAAGGUGAGUGAAGGGGAAUUCCAAGCAGUGUAGAGCCUUCUUUGGGUAGGUUUCUGAAACUCAAGACUCCAGUUCGUAUUCCUUUUUAAAAUUCUGCACUUUAAUGUUGAUGUUGAAUGCAAAUGCAACCUGCAAAAACACACAUUAAAAAUCUAA